Molecule: long non-coding RNA, 2242 nt
Filed under: Malus domestica (apple)
Lineage: Eukaryota; Viridiplantae; Streptophyta; Magnoliopsida; Rosales; Rosaceae
Description: long non-coding RNA (MDOM_LNC017520)
Source: RNAcentral
UCCGACUUCCUUCCCCGCUCCUCCCUCACCCUCCUUGCUGUCCCCAACUCUUUCCUCUCCUCCACCUCCUACCCCAGGAUUUUCUGUUUAAGUGAUAAGUGAGAGUCACGACCUAGGCGGGUACCUAGUGUUGGGUUUUUACGGCUCAAAAUUAGGAUGGUGCAAAGAAUUAGGUUUGUGUUACCUAUUUGGUUUUGGUGUCCUAUUUGGGUUUGAAUUUUGACUUCUUAGUUGGUUUCCUUGGUGGAGAGAUUUUGUUAAUUACCUAUUUGAUUAGGAUUUGGAUUUACUUCCUAUUAGGAUUCUUAUUGUAACCUAAGUCCUAUGCACUAUAAAUAGGACGUUAGGGUUAGUGUAUUUUGUGUGGCUCAUUUGUGUGGCAAUUUGGUGAGAGUCAAUUUGUGAGUUUGUGAGUUAGAGAGCAAUUUGGGAGAAUCUUCUCCGUUUGUUUGAGUUCUCUACUCGUUUGGUUUAGGGUUUGUAAUUUGUGGGAUUUGGGUUGUGAGAGUUUAAACACUCUUUUGUAAUCUCCAUUUGUUUAGUGAAAUUCCUCGCAGUGCUUUGCCCGUGGACGUAGGCUUUACGUUGAACCACGUAAAUCUCGUGUUAGUUUAAGAUUGUUUGUUUUGCUUUCGCCUACGACGUUAAUAUUUGUACUUUGUUAUAAUUCACUUCCGUUUAUGCAUAAAAGUACAAGUGGUAUCAGAGCCCAGGUUUCGGCUUGGGCUUUGGUUGGCAGUCACUAUGAAGCCUUCUGUGUCGUCGGUGAAAGUUGAUAUUGAAAAGUUCGACGGCAAUGACUUUGGUAUUUGACAAUUGAAGAUGCGUGCUUUGGUAGUUCAAGGAAGGAAUAAGGAAAGGAGCAAACUUGGAAAGAACACUUACAGCUAUUGUUACAAGGAAGGCCAUUGGAAAGUAAAUUGCCCUAAACUCAAGGGCAAAAAGAAGUCGUUUGAUAAGUCUUUUGCUAGUGUUGAUGCAAACAUUGCAGAAAAUCGUUGUUUUGAACUCCUCUAAAGGUUAUGUGAAGAGGUGGAGCUUGGUACUCAAGCUCUUUGGGUGGAGUGCAAUUCGCACUUUUUGUUCAUAUGUUCAAGCUUUUGCUUGGAUUUUGUUUCGUAUUUGAUAGUUUCCAUAAUGGAAUUUGUUGGGGAAGGCGUUGGAGGAAAUUUCAAGUUUGAAGACUUUUGGAUUUUUUGAGUCAAGUUGGAGAUCAGUUUCAAAGGAAUUUGGUGCACGUUUGUGUAUGUAUUUUGGUAUCCCAAAUUUGAAGUUUGUAUUUGAUAUGGAAGUUUGCUAAUUUCUCGCCAAGGUGGAGAUUGUUGGGUUUUUACGGCUCAAAAUUAGGAUGGUGCAAAGAAUUAGGUUUGUGUUACCUAUUUGGUUUUGGUGUCCUAUUUGGGUUUGAAUUUUGACUUCUUAGUUGGUUUCCUUGGUGGAGAGAUUUUGUUAAUUACCUAUUUGAUUAGGAUUUGGAUUUACUUCCUAUUAGGAUUCUUAUUGUAAUCUAAGUCCUAUGCACUAUAAAUAGGACGUUAGGGUUAGUGUAUUUUGUGUGGCUCAUUCGUGUGGCAAUUUGGUGAGAGUCAAUUUGUGAGUUUGUGAGUUAGAGAGCAAUUUGGGAGAAUCUUCUCCGUUUGUUUGAGUUCUCUACUCGUUUGGUUUAGGGUUUGUAAUUUGUGGGAUUUGGGUUGUGAGAGUUUAAACACUCUUUUGUAAUCUCCGUUUGUUUAGUGAAAUUCCUCGCAGUGCAUCACCCGUGGACGUAGGCUUUACGCCAAACCACGUAAAUCUCGUGUUAGUUUGAGAUUGUUUGUUUUAGCUUUCGCCUACGACGUUGAUAUUGGUACUUUGUUAUAAUUCGCUUCCGUUUAUGCAUAAAAGUACAACACCUAGGCAAGUCUAGGUGGGCUAGGCGGGCGCCUAAGUGGGUCUAGGCGCACUUUCUUAAUUUUCAAACACCUAGGGACUAAUCGGAGUGGUGGACAGCCGUCUAGCGCUGGGAUUUUUAGAAUAGUGCUAAAAAGAUAUAUUUGAAAAUGAUUAAUAAGUUUUUCAUUUUUAAAAUUGGCAUAUAAUGACUUGUAAAUAAUUUAAUAUUCAAAUAAUGACAUGGAGAAAAGGCACAGGACCUUGAUCAAAAAUGAAAAAGGAAAAAGGUUUCAAUUAAUGAGAAAGAAAAAUGAGGGAUGGGAACCUAAUUUAUCCUUUAAUAAAAUACACUUCAUCAUAUGUAAACCAU